UACCUGCAGCCCGAGUGGUGGCCGUUAUUAUUGGGCCUAAAACGUCCGUAGCCUGUUUGGUAGAUGCCUGUGUAAAUCGAACGGCUUAACCGUUCGAACUGCGGGUAGACCGCCAGACUUGGGAUCGGGAGAGUCACGAAGUACUCCGGGGGUAGAGGUGAAAUUCUGUAAUCCUCGGGGGACUACCGGUGGCGAAGGCGUCGUGAUAGAACGGCUCCGACGGUGAGGGACGAAGCCCUGGGGCGCAAACCGG
RNAcentral lists this ribosomal RNA (253 nucleotides) under uncultured bacterium. RNAcentral describes it as "partial 16S ribosomal RNA". It matches the Rfam family "Archaeal small subunit ribosomal RNA", at positions 474 to 727 of the family's 1478-position model. The record is from RNAcentral.